RNAcentral lists this transfer RNA (75 nucleotides) under Butyrivibrio sp. CAG:318. RNAcentral describes it as "transfer RNA-Glu(CTC)". It matches the Rfam family "tRNA". Rfam says of the family: Transfer RNA (tRNA) molecules are approximately 80 nucleotides in length. Their secondary structure includes four short double-helical elements and three loops (D, anti-codon, and T loops). The record is from RNAcentral. Lineage: Bacteria; Bacillati; Bacillota; Clostridia; Lachnospirales; Lachnospiraceae.
GGCCAAUUGGUCAAGCGGUUAAGACGCCGCCCUCUCACGGCGGAAACAGGGGUUCGAUUCCCCUAUUGGCUACUA